RNAcentral lists this ribosomal RNA (301 nucleotides) under uncultured bacterium. Its description in RNAcentral is "partial 16S ribosomal RNA". It matches the Rfam family "Bacterial small subunit ribosomal RNA", at positions 509 to 809 of the family's 1533-position model. The record is from RNAcentral.
CAGCCGCCGCGGGAAUACGUAGGUGGCAAGCGUUGUCCGGAAUUAUUGGGCGUAAAGCGCGCGCAGGCGGAUAGGUCAGUCUGUCUUAAAAGUUCGGGGCUUAACCCCGUGAUGGGAUGGAAACUGCCAAUCUAGAGUAUCGGAGAGGAAAGUGGAAUUCCUAGUGUAGCGGUGAAAUGCGUAGAUAUUAGGAAGAACACCAGUGGCGAAGGCGACUUUCUGGACGAAAACUGACGCUGAGGCGCGAAAGCCAGGGGAGCGAACGGGAUUAGAUACCCCAGUAGUCCCUGUCUCUUAUACA